GACGAACGCUGGCGGCGUGCCUAAUACAUGCAAGUUGAGCGAUGAAGAUUGGUGCUUGCACCAAUUUGAAGAGCAGCGAACGGGUGAGUAACGCGUGGGGAAUCUGCCUUUGAGCGGGGGACAACCUUUGGAAACGAAUGCUAAUACCGCAUAACAACUUUAACCAUAAGUUUUAAGUUUGAAAGAUGCAAUUGCAUCACUCAAAGAUGAUCUCGCGUUGUAUUAGCUAGUUGGUGAGGUAAAGGCUCACCAAGGCGAUGAUACAUAGCCGACCUGAGAGGGUGAUCGGCCACAUUGGGACUGAGACACGGCCCAAACUCCUACGGGAGGCAGCAGUAGGGAAUCUUCGGCAAUAGACGAAAGUCUGACCGAGCAACGCCGCGUGAGUGAAGAAGGUUUUCGGAUCGUAAAACUCUGUUGGUAGAGAAGAACGUUGGUGAGAGUGGAAAGCUCAUCAAGUGACGGUAACUACCCAGAAAGGGACGGCUAACUACGUG
This 497-nucleotide ribosomal RNA is filed under the name uncultured bacterium. Its description in RNAcentral is "partial 16S ribosomal RNA". It matches the Rfam family "Bacterial small subunit ribosomal RNA", at positions 28 to 507 of the family's 1533-position model. The record is from RNAcentral.